This 462-nucleotide ribosomal RNA is filed under the name Bathytoma atractoides. RNAcentral's name for it is "eukaryotic LSU rRNA". The stretch from base 1 to 105 matches the Rfam family "5.8S ribosomal RNA", at positions 50 to 154 of the family's 154-position model. Lineage: Eukaryota; Metazoa; Mollusca; Gastropoda; Neogastropoda; Conidae. The record is from RNAcentral.
CAGCUGCGUGAACUAAUGUGAAUUGCAGGACACAUUGAACAUCGACACUUUGAACGCAUAUUGCGGCCAAGGGUCCGUCCUUUGGCCACGCCCGUCUGAGGGUCGGCAAAGUUCUACCCAUCGCCGGAGGCUCUUUCCGGCGCGUUGAGCGUCUCGUAGCGGCAUCCGCCUCUCUCUAACCCUCUCCCAUCAGUGGGGGAGGGAAGGGGGGAAGCGCCUGGCAUGCUCCGUGGCUCCAAGUUCAGACCCGGUCCCCCCUUGCAGUGGUGGGUGCUCUUUCACCGCUGUGGGUGGGGGCCCGACUUCCUUUGGCUCCCCCGCCGUGCCUGUCUCCCUCUCUCUCGAGGGGGAGGAGGUGUGACGUCCUCUGUGCGGGCGAAGGACAUGGCUCGGAUGACAGCACACAUCAUGCCUUCGCUCCGCCCACCACACACCUCUCUCCUUGUCCUCCGGGAGCGGGUU